Molecule: microRNA precursor, 105 nt
Filed under: Marmota monax (woodchuck)
Lineage: Eukaryota; Metazoa; Chordata; Mammalia; Rodentia; Sciuridae
Source: RNAcentral
AGUGGGAUAGCUGGGUCAAAUGGUGGUUCCAUUCCAAGUUUUCCAAGGAAUCUCAAUACUGCUUUCCAUAUUUUGGUUGCACCAAUUUGCAGUCCCACCAGCAGU